UCAAAAGCAGUUGCGGGUGCCGGUCCCCUCGCACUGAGUCCCGUCCCACCAGACAGAGGGGGAGAUUUUAGAGCACGCUCGUCAGGUUUAGGAGCAAAUGGUCGAGGUGACGGGGGCCACUAGAGUAAGGGUAGGGAGGAGUAGUGUAGCGGGCGCACUCGCUAACAGCAACUAUUUUUUUUAGGAGGGAGAGAUGAAGGCUUGACCUCGAGGAGAGAGAGAGACCGGCACUCCUCGAGAUUUGGGAUCGCCGUCGCCGUCCCCUCCGCGCGGCCCCUCGGUCUAGCGGCGGCGCUACCUCUCGGGGCACUUCCUCCUCCAGCCGCCCCUCGACCGCUACCUCUAGCUCAGCUCGCAGUGCCGGCUCCUGACCGCGGCGCGCGAGAGGGCGCAGCACGGGCGGCAGCGGCAGGAGGCGUGGUGGCGCGGCGCGCGGAAGCUGUGGCUCCAGCGGCCGCGGUCGAUGCGGUGGCCGAAGCAGCAGCUGUUCCGGGCGCCGUAGUAGGAGUGGUUGGCGGUGCAGCAGUUCGGGCCAGGACACCAGAGCCUCCGCUACAAGCACUUGGCCCUCCUCUAGGGACACAUGGGGGACAUGUCUCUGGGACAUGUACUAAAACCAAAAAAAGCGAUACUAGGUCCACGGUAUUUCAAGGAGUUCAUACUCCUCUAGGGAGAUCUGGGACUUCGUCGUAGACAACCCGAUCUUUAGGCUCAACAGCCGUUACUGUCGCCGCUUUUCCAAAGUUAAAACCGCCCUUGUGAACGAGCUGAACUAUCUCUUCGCGGAGUGAUGUUCUUCCUGCCCAUGUUACUAAAGUUGUGUAAGAUAUACGUCCGGCGUAGACCUUGAUUUCCACCGAGAUCACCAAGGGGUCAACAACUAACGGUUCCUUCUCGACAACGCGACUUACGACCUUCGUUUAGAAGGUCACGAAGACGAAAAAAGGAAGGUAAUCUUGCACACCAAUCCCGUGACUUAAACUAUGCACUAACAACCCUACGUAAACCAUAGUUCAGUCUUAGACAAAUAUAAGGAGCACCAUGUGACGUCUACUGGAAAGUUGUGUUUCCUAAGCUUCUUUGAGCUGCAGAACCUGACUCCUUACUUUGUCUCGUCUACCAUGCGGAACAAAGAGGUCGUCCGCUUUGACCUUACGACCAACAACUGAGACACCACGGUCUUCCUGGACGUGUAUUUGUAAACCUUGGACCACUACACGAUCAAGUGUAGUUACCCCUCCAACAUUGGGUCAAAGAGCGUUACCUCUGAAAUGAACUACUGUCGCAACCGUUCCUCCAUUUAAACGUCUAACUUUCUCCACCUCACGGAAACUGUCAUUUCAAUCUCCAACUUCUAAACGUGAGAUAUUGAGGUUUAGUAAAGAACCUUCAGUCACCACGACAGUAGGUAGGUGAAAGUAUGGUCGUCCGAUCUUUGAAGGCCAAGUUUACACCAGAACAUAUACAACGACUUCGUCCCAUGUACGAGAGAGCCCGUAGCCAAGGUGCGGUAAGUUAAUAGUUUUUCAAACGCCCUCUCCUAUAACUUUUAAAUCUACUGGAAUAACGUCAAUAAAGUUUCGACAGAUCCCCUCGUGCUCACGGAGAACUUAUACAUUUCAUGUGACUGGCAAUAGCCUUGUUCAGACAUGACCACUGUUAACUAGUUGUACCAACCAUACGCGGAGGAGUCAAUAUGUGAGCUUUACUGCGUUGACCAGAAACCUUACGUUUUAACCGAUAUGGUGAGCUUAGAGGGAAACAUCAAAGGGUAGCACGACCGGUAUACCUACGUUUGAGUUUAAGACAAAGUGGCAACUGACUUAGUUCAGGAUACCUAGAGUUUACGGUCGUGCUCAGACUUUUAUGCCGUCUACCUACGCAUUUUUACGUUUGUCUACUCCUCUAACGGUAUCUACCUAGGGUGAGACCGCUUCUAAGGUAGGAACUCUUUUUUUCCGCGGCCCACCUACUCCUCUAUCGACGACUCCCUUGAUAUAGUAGAAAACCUCUAAAUCUACUGUACUUUCUACCGCGUAACUCCGUAGGAAGGUCACACCUUCCGAGGCUGGAACGAGCCUGUUAUAGUUCAUUACGAAGUAACCGUCUUGUUCAUUAACUCGGUCGAGAACAUUACAAACUCCACGUACACGGUGGUUAUACGUACGAACUACCUCACGUAAGAGUUGUAAAGAAACCUUGGCCACACUAUUAUAUAGUAAGACUGACAGAUCCAGACCAACGGCAGCUAUCCUUAUGUCAACGACAUAGAUAGAGACUAUAUUACGAGAGAAAACGACGUAUAGGGUAACUUUAUGGACGUCUCCAACAAAAAGACGUAGGACAAGUAUUAAAACGUGACCAACGGAUACUAGGAAGACGUGACCCUCGACCUCGUAGACAAUAAGCCCGACGAUUCGAAGAAGGACUCGGACGGAACGCGGCUCCUCUAAGACAGAUGGAUCAACCCGAUUCAUCUUCGAAUGUUCGAUGUAGUUCCUUUAGUUGGUAUUGGUUAGGAACGUGUCGACAAUUAUAACCGAGUCGACUGACGGGUGCUAUAGCACGUUAUUUAUACCUCCAGUAACUCGAACUAUGACUAAAGCCGUCGAGUAAAAGCCCAUAUAACUGCCUACUCGUUCCUUCUCAAGUUCGCAAUACCCGUUCGAAAAGGUGGGUCUAGUUUUCUUUUUUCUUUUCGUGUUUUGCCGUCGAAUGCGGGUUCGAGUUUAUACCAACAUCGUCAAGUCUCCUGGUAGUUAAGCAAUCUCCAUAUGGUUAUAUACGUUAUUCAGUUCAGGAACUCUUCUAUUAGAGCCCAUGAGGACCUGGUAAAGCAGAAUAGUUACCUUAAGCUUCCGGCUACGGUGAACAGUCUGAAGACCUCCACCUUGAAAUAGGUUGAAACGAAAGCUUUCGUUCUUCAAUACCUAACUCGCUAUUGACCCACGUCCGAGAGCGAUUCUUCCUGGGACACGCGUCUGUUCAGAACGCCCAGUUUCCAACAAACCGACCUAGUUUUCGCCUUUUCGAAGACCUUGUUCCUCUGUACUAAGAUCGAUAGUUGUUCCUUGGUUAUUGUACGAAAGAACUGUAACUCUUACGAACGGUUUUCAACCUGGUUAGAUAGCUAAGUCUACCGGACGAAUUGUACUGUUAUAAAGCAGUCCCUUUUCUUUAACUGGAAUAACAACCUUGGCUACAUUCUCUACCAUUACCAAGUUGUUCCUACCACUUAACCACACCUAGGUAUUAAGUCCUAGGAGUAAGUCGUCACGCACGUGAACCGAAAAACGGGCUCCUUCCAGUACCUCAAAUACAACGAUCUACCACGGUACCUUCAGGGCAUGUAUCUAUACCGGAAAUACGAGAGGUCACCUAUCAACUUCAAUUGCCCGUUGGUUGAGGUCUAAACCUCAGGAAAUAAGUUCACCACUUCCCUAACCUUCUAGCACUCAAGCAGUCCCACUUCUGGCAGGUAAACUUGCCUUUUGGUGCGCACGAGUGAGACUUUGUCCUGGAGGUGAUGACCGGUUGGACCCUCGAGUGAAAACUUGGCCUCUGACUGUGUACCUUCUCCUCUUGUUAUUUCCGCAACGUCGGUUGGCCCCGAACUAAAUAAGACGAAAGAACACUAUAAAAGUCGCCCGGAUCCGGAAGAGAUCCUUCCGUUCGUACCUCUCCGCUCCUUGAGACUUUACGAACAGUACGGCCACUCGAUCUUAGUCCCACCCCGUGAUCCUACAUCACAUUAAGUAUCUACUGUAUUCCUAAAAUUACGGACACCUAUUAACCUGACGCCCCACACAGAAAAGACAUGGAUAACCUAUAUAAAAAAAUAAGAGGACAUCUUCGUUAUUUGGUAAAUCGCUAAAUCGAGAGCAGAGUUGACCUCAUAAAAAGACGUCUCGUGAAGCAAACGUCAAAAACCUACAUCACCACGACUACGAGCCAGUAACUCAAAAACCUGGUUCGAUAAGACAUACACUUCGAAAGGAAACUCUAAACCUGGAGUACAG
Molecule: ribosomal RNA, 4019 nt
Filed under: Triticum aestivum (bread wheat)
Lineage: Eukaryota; Viridiplantae; Streptophyta; Magnoliopsida; Poales; Poaceae
Description: partial small subunit ribosomal RNA
Source: RNAcentral